Molecule: long non-coding RNA, 6286 nt
Organism: Felis catus (domestic cat)
Lineage: Eukaryota; Metazoa; Chordata; Mammalia; Carnivora; Felidae
Exons: 5
Source: RefSeq, a predicted model, not a curated record
CUCAGCCCAACCAGGGGCUUAUAUAGGUGCUUGGAAUUCUAUAAUAAUGGUUGCUGUGAGGUCACAGCAAGAAACGGACCAAUCUUGGCUGGUGAUCAUCCACAGUGUUUUUUCUCAUUUUUUUGGUCUAAAAAAUCUAUUUGUCUUAAAAAAGAAUUGCUGAGAACUCCCAAUAGCUUUUUGUUCAUGUACAUUAUAUUUAUUGAUAUUAUUAGAAUUGGAAAACGAUUGUACACUUGAAUCGGGAUCCAAAACAGGUCCACAUAUUGUGAUUGGUUGGAAUUUCUUGGACCCUUUGAAGCCCAUCCCCUGAAUUCCUGGUUAAGAAUGUAGGCUCUGAAAAAUCAUCUGAGUUUGAAGACCCUGGCUUCACAAAAGGCAGUUCUGCAGAAUCCCAACACUGAGGCUUCCCUAACAAAUGCAAAUGAAUGUACAUCAUAAGACUGUUCUUCAGUUAGACCAGAGCCUUUGGUAAAUGCUGUGGCCUCAAACAUCUGGCAACCCACACAUGGUUCAUUCAUCUCAAAGCUGUGAUUGUUGAUGCAGGGAUGACGUUGGCUGCGGGAGCCCCCUUCCUCUCAGUCAUGGGCAGCCAGCAGGGGAUUUCACUGAACAGUUAAGAAGUACUUACUUGGUUCUGGGCACUGUUCUAAGCAUUUUACAAAUAUUAUCUUGUUUAAGCUUUUCAUGAACCCCUUUGAACUCAAGAAACCAUCACCUGUGCUUUCAUUCUGAAUCCAAAAUAGAGUGCUUUGUGCUGAACACUAUUUUCAGUGCUUCAGAUACACUGGGUUAUCUGUUUAAUCCUUACAAACAACCCCAUGAUGUAAGAUACUUUUAUUAUCAUCCCUGUCUUACAAGUAAGGAGAUUGAAGUAUGGGAAGAGGAAGAAAUUUGUCUAAAGUCACACGGUUCGUAAUUAGUAGUUCUGGGAUUUGAAUCCGAGCAGUCUGGCCUCAGAAAACACACUUAUCUACUAACUACCCUGGGAAGUCAUCUCCCUUCCCCUGUUGUUUAAAAAUAGGUAACUCUUUUUGCUCCUGAAGCUUUAAGAAAAUAAAUACAGUAGCUCUGCCUAAUGUGAACAUUGUUGGUCCUCAACUUAAACUCAUUGGCUAAAUUUUCUAGAAUAUUUAGCUGAGAUAAUUAGAAAAGGAGGAAGGUGUGAAGGGUGUAGACUGCUAUGAGCCAUUUAUUGGCUGUAUGACCUUGGCCAAGUUACUUUACUUCUUUGAAUCUCAGUUUAUUAAUCAGUAAAAUGGGGCAAUAAUAUGCUUACCUCAUGGAGUACAGUGAAGAGUGAAUGAAAAAACCUUGUAAAGACCUCAUAUAGUGCCUGAAAUGAGGAAAAACUCCAGUAAGUAGUAGAUAUUUUUAUUAUUACAGACAAACAUUUUGUCACCAUAGGGAUGGUGUUGUUAGGUAGCCUAUUAAACAUGCCCUAUGAACACUAUUCAAAAAAAAUCUUCAUUUUGUAAUUAAUCACUUGAUUGUGUUAUCUGAUGAAUGGCAGUCCCUUUCACCAAACUAUAAACUCCUCUAGGCUGUAAACUCUAUUAGUCUGUGAACUCCAUGUAUGUGUUUAUGUUGUCUGGUUUUGAUGCAUAGCCUUAUUGGAUACCUUGGCAUGCAGAAGGAAUAUCUGUGUCUAGUGACUUGAACAAGGGUCGGACAUUUUAGAAUAUGAAACACUUAAGGACAACUCUAGGUAUAGGAAUAUUAGUUUACAAAACACAGUCGAGGUUUAAUUCUUUGUUGGUUGGGACCAACAUCAUCUGAUGGGCAGUUUUCUGUUUGAAGUUUGGUUCAAGACUGACUCUUUGCAGGUUUGGGUUUAGGUGACUGUCCUCUGGAACACAUCUAUUUGCAUAUGAACUUUCUCUGUCUGGAGACCCUCUGCUAUAGCACCCAACCUAAAAAAUCCUCCCCAGAAUGGCCCAUCCUCUAUUUUACUAAAAAAUUAAUUGUACUUGGAGGGGAAAACAUUUAAAUGUUAACAGUGGUUCCCUGAGGGUAUAAAGUGCUUACAUGGAGCGUGACACAGUUUUUAUUAAAGAGGAAGAACCAAAAAAGAGAGAAGAAACCCGAAGAAAGAGUUAGAAUUUUACAUGAAACUGAACAGAUAUCCUUUCCCACUUUUGCCCUCAUAAAAAUGAAACUUUUUUAUGGUGACAUUUUUAGCCCACUCUGAAAUGUAUUGAUUUGUUUCCUGUGACUCAUUGUCUGUUUCUUCUUUCUAUGUUAAAAAAAACAUAUUAAAUAUCAUUGUGAUAAUAUAAAUAUAUAUGUGUGGGUGGAUGGAAGGGUGAAGGGAAUUUUCUUUUAAAUUCUAAGAAGGGAAAUAGCUUUCUCAUGUGUUCCCACAUCAUCAAUCAACUCAUCACAUCCUUAGUCUACUUCAUUUUCUCCCCCAAAAUAAUCACUUCUGAUCUCAAAGCUUGAGAAAAAAAAAGUUUCAGAAAGUUCUGGAGAUGGCCCAUUAGUUGGGGCGACUGUAGACUUUUUUGUACCUUUAAUUCCGGGUUGAAGGGACAUCCAGCCGCUAUUUCCAUUUUGGGCAGUAGAGGGCAGACGUCUCUACUCCUGCCUACCCAAGAUUACCCGGCAACAUUAUGUUUAUGCAAACAGCCUUUGACAUAAUAGCUUUGAAACAGCUGAAAAUUGAAUUGUGCCUUGAGGCCAAACAUCUAGACCACCACCUUUGUUAUAUUCAUCUGCCACAGUAAAUUGGGUUCACCAUUGGCUCCGGGAGCUGCUUUUUCCUAGAUUCUGGCCCCACAAUAACUUUGCGUAGGAGAAAGACAAAUGUGACUUCCUCACACAAAAUGUUGGCAGGGUUUCAUUUCACAAACUCUUAUCCGAGGGGCUGGAGAUUGCAGUGUGGAUUUCUCCAGCCAUCUGCAGACAAGAAAAUAAAAGGAAAACUGGAAACCUAAACCAAAUCCAUCUAAUUCUGGAAUCUCUCUGUGUGUUUCCAUAGCUUUUUAGUUUCUCCACUUAAUCUAAUUAGGACUUCGCCUCCCGAAAUAAAUACCUAAUAAAGAAUGAACCUAUUAAAAGACUAAAUUUACUACACACCCGUUUGUGCAAACCCGCUGCAUGUUUCCUUGAAGCGGUAAUGCCGAUGAAAUUGAACGUUGUUUGACUGGAUAAUGGUCUCCCGCUGUAAGACGGAUUAUAGAAAAUAAACGUCGAGGGGGGGAAAGCCAGUCGCUUUAUUGAAUUCCAUCGAUGAUAAUGCCAUCACCUGAAAUAGCUGCCUGAAAAGAGUAUAAAUGGGAGAGAAGCAGCAGCAUCCAGAGCCAAUUUGCAACUGGGGAACAGUUCAUUUUAUUGGAAGUAAUUUUAUUCUGUUUUGGGUUCACUGCCCUGGUUUGGGGGUUGACAUAAACUAGAUUUUUAAAGGAAAUAUGUUUGUGGGCACCAUGAGUGCUUUUCGCAGGAGGGCAUUUAGGCAUUGAUUAAUUGAUUCAUGUGUUUAUCAAUUAAUAUUUAAUGGGGACCUACUGUGUGCUGAGGACUGUUUAGAAGCUGAGGAUAGGAUAGUGAGCAAAAUAGGUGUCAUUACUCUCAGGGAACUUACCGUCUAGUGGAAGAGGUAGAAUCCAUUCAGUAGCAAAUAUUUAUUAAACACCUACUUAGGAUCUGGCUCAUGAUCACAAAAUAACUAUAGAUUUGCAACCCAGACAAAUAGUAUGAAGGCAAGGUAGUGAAAUUGGUAGCAUACCAUGCGUUUGAAGAAUAGUUUUAAAAGAAAUCAUGUAACAUCAAAAGGACUCCCGGAUCAGUAUGGAGAUGGCUUAUCUAAAGAGUUUAGUAGUAUGUUGUGAGUUUCCUUAAUGGAUAAUGGGUUCAAAUCCAGUCACCGUACUUUUCUGGGACUCAGUUCUUUGUUUUUCUUAAUAGAAGUUUACAGUAAUUCCUGUCCAAUUUGCCUAAUAAGAUGCAUGUUUUAGUAAAAUAAGGGAAUAUGCAAAAAAAGUGUUUUGUAGUUGACGAAAAUGGUAGGAAUUAUUAUUGUGGGCUGGUGCUUUUCUAGGGCCUACCUACAAGGAUCCUACAGAAUUCUUGGCUAGACAAGAGGAAUAUAGCUUGAUCAACAGUGAGCAAUUCAAACAGUUUAUGGGUAAUAAAGUAUGUGGCACAGAUGAAAAAAAAUAUGUUGCAUGAAGUCAGGGAGAGGUUAGGCCUUGAAGAGUAGAUGGGGUUUAGAAAGAGGAGAACAGGACCCCAGAGUAGUCUUCAUUUUGGGCUUAUGAGAUGCUGAUGUACACACUAGCAGUUGGAAAACCCUGGUGGUGGUGGAGGGUUGUUUUACUGGAUACAACUCAAGUUCAGGGUUCUUUAUGGACCAAUGUAUUAGGUUGACAUCUGACAUUAUGUUGGAUGGUACUUCAGUGACCUUUUGUAAGGCUCUCCUUUGCUCAUUGGUGCCUACCCUUCCCUUGCUCCUCAUGUGUCACCUGGAUACUCCAUAUUCUCUAUCACUCCUCUUCCAAGCCUUCUCUGCACCUUGAGGACCCUGCUCUCCAAAGUUGUGGCACUUGUUACAUAAUCAAUGCCGAGACACUGAUGGGAGAUCAUAAGGGCAUUCACAUUUUAUCCCACUUUCCUGAAAAGACAGUGCUUAAAACCAGGGCUUCUUAAAUUUUUGUGAUGUUUAAAUUUUGGACCCCUCUUCCAAAAAAGAAAAAAACUUCUCUCAACUCUAGAGAAGACAACCCUAUUUGGAAAACACUGACUUAAACUUUCAAUUGUAAACUAUCAUUGCUAAAGAGAAAUUUUGGUCUUAUAGUUGCUAAUUUUUCUCUUUUGAAAUUAUCAUUGAAAUGAAAACACAUAGUUGAAAAAUGUUUUUGAAACUUUUAGGCCCUGGGGAAGAAUGGGCCUUUCAGAGUCCAUUAAAUUAAGAACUUCAGGGGAAUCCCUACACCCCCAAGGUCUCAGUUCCCCAUUCAUUCUCCCCAUUUUUCUAUUAUGUUUCUUCAGACAGCCAAGUGACAUUUCUUUGAUGAUUAAUGAUGCUGGGAUCUCUCAGGAGUCCCAUACUACCUCCUUGUAAGGACCCAAGAAGCAACAGAUCCCUGAAUUUCUGUUCAAAUGCACUGUUAUGUUCAGUGCCUGUUCCAGAGACCAGUUCUACACUUAGCUAAAAGAGCCCUGUCUAAGGCUCCUGUGAAGUCUCAGAGAGUCAGCUUCAUUGUGUGCCUCAAAGUUAACAUAUUCUCCAGCCUCAUGGAGAAAUCUGGGCAGAAGAGGCAGCCAUUUUGAGGCAAUUUCCCUACAUUCUGACCGUGAGUUCUGUAAGCUCAAGAGAGCAUCUUUGAGUGAUUCAGUUUGCCUUAAGUUAUCCUUGCUCGUACCUUCAUUAUGUCUACAUCUUGGGCAGCAGGAGAGGAAGAUAGGAAAAAGGCAAAGGUAGAGUAUAAGAAACAUAGAACGAUUUGAGGAACAAAACAUGGUAGAAAAGAAAGAAAAGAAAAAUGUUUCCAUGUGGUGUCAUCAAAAAAGACAUCGGGCAGUGGGACUAAAAUAUGUUGAGUGUCUGCUACAUACCAGCUGAUUUACUUACAAUGCACCUUGCUGUAUAGUGGAGAGGACUCUUCAUCCAGGAAAUAAGCUAUAUAAUAAGUCAAUUUAAAUCCAGCUAUAAGCCCUGAAUCCUGAUGGUUGGAGGGAAACCCAGCCUCUAUCAUUAUGGGAGUUCCUUCAAUCACCACUGUUGCUCCCCCCACACUCCACCAGGGUUUUGCCAAGGUCCUAGGCUUUUUCUCAGUGCUGGGUAGAAGUGGCCACAUUGGUCAAUAUAGGUUAGCUCUCAGUGCUUCUAUAAGCCCUUUAGGGCUUGGCUCUUGGGGUUUGGACCCUGAUGAGCCUGGGAACCCUUCUGUUCUGUGUUGAGAUCCCAUUAGUCUACGAAAUAUCUAUCCCUAUGAACUUUACUGUUGGUGCUGCCUGACCUUUACUUCUUUCUUAUUACAGAAACUUUCUUCUUCCUUCUCCACUCCUUUCCUCAAAAGCACACCUCUUUCUUCUUCUUUGGGUCUAUUGUCAUGAUCUCUUCAAAGUUCUGGGGCUUUUACAAAAGAUAGAAUCAUUGACUUAAGCAGCUUCUGUUUUCUAUCCUGUAGAAUUCUCUAAGGCAAGGAAUUAUUAAGGGUCUGAACACAUGUUUGGGAAAGGGGAGGAAGGAAAAAUAAAGCAGAAUACUAAUUAAUUUUUUUAUAUUUUAUUUCAUUUUAGAGGGAGAGAGAGAGAGUGAGAGCAUGAAAGUGGGGGAGAGGGG